AACGAACGCUGGCGGCAGGCUUAACACAUGCAGGUCGAGCGCCCCGCAAGGGGAGCGGCAGACGGGUGAGUAACGCGUGGGAACGUACCUUUUGGUUCGGAACAACUCCGGGAAACUGGAGCUAAUACCGGAUAAGCCCUAACGGGGAAAGAUUUAUCGCCGAAAGAUCGGCCCGCGUCUGAUUAGCUAGUUGGUGAGGUAACGGCUCACCAAGGCGACGAUCAGUAGCUGGUCUGAGAGGAUGAUCAGCCACACUGGGACUGAGACACGGCCCAGACUCCUACGGGAGGCAGCAGUGGGGAAUAUUGGACAAUGGGCGCAAGCCUGAUCCAGCCAUGCCGCGUGAGUGAUGAAGGCCUUAGGGUUGUAAAGCUCUUUUGUCCGGGAAGAUAAUGACUGUACCGGAAGAAUAAGCCCCGGCUAACUUCGU
This 430-nucleotide ribosomal RNA is filed under the name uncultured bacterium. Its description in RNAcentral is "partial 16S ribosomal RNA". It matches the Rfam family "Bacterial small subunit ribosomal RNA", at positions 29 to 506 of the family's 1533-position model. The record is from RNAcentral.